AUUGAACGCUGGCGGCAGGCCUAACACAUGCAAGUCGAACGGUAACAGGAAGAAGCUUGCUUCUUUGCUGACGAGUGGCGGACGGGUGAGUCAUGUCUGGGAAACUGCCUGAUGGAGGGGGAUAACUACUGGAAACGGUAGCUAAUACCGCAUAAUGUCGCAAGACCAAAGAGGGGGACCUUCGGGCCUCUUGCCAUCGGAUGUGCUCAGAUGGGAUUAGCUAGUAGGUGGGGUAACGGCUCACCUAGGCGACGAUCCCUAGCUGGUCUGAGAGGAUGACCAGCCACACUGGAACUGAGACACGGUCCAGACUCCUACGGGAGGCAGCAGUGGGGAAUAUUGCACAAUGGGCGCAAGCCUGAUGCAGCUAUGCCGCGUGUAUGAAGAAGGCCUUCGGGUUGUAAAGUACUUUCAGCGGGGAGGAAGGGAGUAAAGUUAAUACCUUUGCUCAUUGACGUUACCCGCAGAAGAAGCACCGGCUAACUCCGUG
Molecule: ribosomal RNA, 490 nt
Filed under: uncultured bacterium
Lineage: Bacteria
Description: partial 16S ribosomal RNA
Rfam family: Bacterial small subunit ribosomal RNA
Source: RNAcentral